Molecule: small nuclear RNA, 106 nt
Organism: Aotus nancymaae (Ma's night monkey)
Lineage: Eukaryota; Metazoa; Chordata; Mammalia; Primates; Aotidae
Source: Ensembl
GUGCUCAUUUCCACAGCAUGAACACUAAAAUUGGAAUGAUACCAAGAAGAUUACCAUGGCCCCUGCACAGGAUGGCAUGCAAGUUCAUGAGGCAUCCCGUAUUUUA